Molecule: long non-coding RNA, 447 nt
Organism: Lolium perenne
Lineage: Eukaryota; Viridiplantae; Streptophyta; Magnoliopsida; Poales; Poaceae
Source: RefSeq, a predicted model, not a curated record
CCCUCUUCGCGUGCUAGAUUUCGUUUCAAUUCCGACCGAUUCUCCGCUGGUUGAUCUUGCCUGCUGCGGUUCCUUUGCUCUUCUGGCGUUUCCUUUUUUUGCUAAUCACGCUAAUCACGCUAUUAUUUCGGCGAUCUAGGUCUGGAGGGGCUGGUUCUUUGGUGGGAUCCCUUCGCCUGUUCGUUCGGCCGGCGCGGCCGGCGCGGCCGGCUGGUUUCCCUGAGGUUGCAGGCUGGUGAUUAUGGUUUUGUUAUGCUUAUCUGGAGAGGUAGGAACCUGGUUUAGCCUGCCUCGCUAUGCUUACAAGCUUAGAUCAUUUCAGAACAUACUUGCAAACGUGGGUGAUAAGACUUAUCUUGCAGAUGUGAUUGGCGUUGUGACGGGUGUUUCUUCCCUUGUGAGCAUCGAUGUGAAGGGACAUUCUACUUCUAAGUGCACUCUCUGCCU